UUGCUGACAGAUCGAGGCGGGCUGAGUGCGCGAGCGGCCGGGGAGUAUUCCCGCGGGUCCUCCGGUUCCCUCCCCACCUCUCCGUUCCCGAAGCCCCCGGUAGUGGGCGGGGAGGGACGGGGGAGUCGUGGAAACUUCGCCCACCGCGCGCGGUCGCCGCGGUGCUGGCCGCGGGCUGGUGGCCGGCAGGCGGUGGCAGCAGCCUCACCGAACAGCUGAAACCCUAGACGGUUUUUUAACUGCGCGGGGCUGCUCGCGGUGCCUAUUAAACAUCCUCCUGGCUGGGUGUCAUUUUCUUGCUUCUCCUUUUGUAUUCUGAUCUGCGCAUAGAUCUGCUGCUGCUGAAAUCUAGAACACCAGCGCGAAAACAGAUUUGAAGACAAUGAAUGCAAAUCUGUGCUCAAAGACCAUCUGCCGUGGAGGAGACAAUCAGCUGUUCGUAGUUCGAGCGAUUGCGCCCCAGUCUCCCGGUCUCAUUACGGGGAGGGCAUUUGCGAGCGCCUGGACUGCGUUCAGGGCACUUUCUCCCCUCUUGGGUCUCAGAUUUGAGAGACCAGAUCCCUUAGGUGUAGGUGAGCGCUCGCAAAUGAACUGCUAGAGUUUGCCGCUAGAGGACACAGCGCCUUGCAACUGGUUUGCCUAGGCUGACAGGAAGCUUGCACUUCAAGAAAACUCGGCUCUCUCGAGAAAGGGACCGGUGCGCGCCUCCACCUCCCCAAGGGACAAACCGCGGCACCACGCUGCGUGCGCGGGAUUGCGACUAGGAAGUGCUGGUCCGAACUGCGGAGAUUCGCUUGAAAACGGAUAGGGGGUUUUACGGAGAAUUUCGGUCCCAGCAAAAACUGAUCACCUGGAGUCUUCUACGGUCUCUCUUUAUAAAUCUCUCCGAACCUCAAGCAACUCCCCCCCACCCCCUUCGUCUGGGGUCUGCGCCCAGCGGGGCCAAAGCCUUGAGUUCCUUGGCAGAGAGUGUGGAACAGCCGUGAGCCCUUCAAGACAUGCCUAUGAGCCCGGUGAUUUUUUUUUCAAGGGGGCUUUGAUCAGCUGUACCUCCACGUUGCCCCGGAAAGGUGCGCAGGGCACCCGGAGAGGCCUCUGGUCAGCAGUGGGCCUGGGCCAAGCCCCAACAGUUUACCCCUCAGGCUCAGGUUGGCUGGGGUUAAAGGGCAAAGUCAGGGUCGAGGGCACCAGCUUUUCUCGGCGGUAACAGCUGCCACCCAAAUUAUGCCCCCUCAGGAAGCGAAUGAAUUGUUCCUUUCUCCCAGCUCCCUGCUGCCCGCCCCAAAACAGACGGGGCCGCGCUCGGCGGGCGCCCCUCCUCCCAGCCAACCCCCCGAGACGCGCUCAGGGGCCUCGGUGCCCCGCUGGGAGGCAAUUUGGGGGAGCCGUGGUCCCGAACUUUGACAGAGUGGGGCUUCCCCACUACUUGCCGGCUGCGCUAAGGGCGCCCCCCGCGGCAGUGCUGCUGGGAGCUCCAGGGAUGGCUGUGUGGCUCGCUGCGGGCGUUGAAGUUCCCUGUUGGCCAGGCUGAAGUGCCUGCGCGAGCGUGAGGGGACAAGGACUGCCUUGGGCCCAGCGUGGCGGCGUUUCGGCCAACCCAGUUGGGGUUAAUUGCGUCUGUAUAGGUUUUGGGUAGGAAUGCUCGCGGAGUCCGCCACCCGCGCGAAACAUGCGUUGGUUGGGGGAAUGAGCAGCGGCGGCUGCGCCUGGAGGGUUGCUCCCACCUCUGUCGCCUCCAGCUACCCCCAAACAAACCUCCUUUUCGAUCUCGUGCAACACAAAACCUGCCCCGAGCUGUGCGGGGGCCUGGCAAGCGCAGCUGCGGCCCCGGGAAGCCCAAUCCCGCGGGACUGCGGAGCCCACGCGCUCCUCAGGCUCCGGCCAACUAGCUCGGUUCUGCCUCUAGCCCGGGUCAAGAAAAAUCCAAAAUGAACACUAUGAUUAAAAUUAUUCACAAUCUAUUUAUACAAAACUGGGGGUGUCUGUCUUUUACCCUGUCCCCUUCUUCAUUUAC
Molecule: long non-coding RNA, 2014 nt
Filed under: Homo sapiens (human)
Lineage: Eukaryota; Metazoa; Chordata; Mammalia; Primates; Hominidae
Description: HSALNT0134421
Source: RNAcentral